GGAGUUCCCACAUAUGCUGAGCCCUUGAUGGCUGCUUUUCCUUCACUCUGCUGUCCAACUCAUCCCAAACCAUCUCAACCGGGUUGAGUUUGGGUUAUUGUGGAGGCCAGGUCAUCUGAUGCAGCACUCCAUCACUAUCCUCGGUCAAAUAGCCCAUACAUAGCCUAAAGGUGUGUUUUGGGUCAUUGUCCUGUCGAAAAACAAAUGACAGUCCAACUAAACGCAAACCAGAUGGGAUGGCGUAGCGCUGCAGAAUGCUGCGGUAGCCAUGCUGGUUAAGUGUGCCUUGAAUUCUAAAUAAACUGCUAAAUAAACUGCUCAAAAAAAUAAAGGGAACACUAAAAUAACACAUCCUAGAUCUGAAUGAAUGAAAUAGUCUUAUUAAAUACUUUUUUCUUUACAUAGUUGAAUGUGCUGACAACAAAAUCACACAGAAAUUAUCAAUGGCAAUCAAAUUUAUCAACCAAUGGAGGUCUGGAUUUGGAGUCACACUCAAAAUUAAAGUGGAAAACCACACUACAGGCUGAUCCAACUUUGAUGUAAUGUCCUUAAAGUCAAAAUGAGGUUCAGUAGUGUGUGUGGCCUCCACGUGCCUGUAUGACCUCCCUACAACGCCUGGGCAUGCUCCUGAUGAGGUGGCGGAUGGUCUCCUGAGGGAUCUCCUCCCAGACCUGGACGAAAGCAUCCGCCAACUCCUGCAACGUGGCUGUGGCACGGUGUUGGGCUGUGGCAUUGGUGGAUGGCGCGAGACAUGAUAUCCCAGAUGUGCUCAAUUGGAUUCAGGUCUGGGGAACGGGCGGGCCAGUCCAUAGCAUCAAUGCCUUCCUCUUGCAGGAACUGCUGACACACUCCAGCCACAUGAGGUCUAGCAUUGUCUUGCAUUAUGAGGAACCCAGGGCAAACCGCACCAGCAUAUGGUCUCACAAGGGGUCUGAGGAUCUCAUCUCGGUACCUAAUAGUAGUCAGGCUACCUCUGGCGAGCACAUGGAGGGCUGUGCGGCCCCCCAAAGAAAUGCCACCCCACACCAUGACUGACACACCGCCAAACCGGUCAUGCUGGAGGAUGUUGCAGGCAGCAGAACGUUCUCCACGGCGUCUCCAGACUGUCACGUCUGUCACGUGCUCAUUGUGAACCUGCUUUCAUCUGUGAAGAGCACAGGGCGCCAGUGGCGAAUUUGCCAAUCUUGUUGUUCUCUGGCAAAUGCCAAACGUCUUGCACGGUGUUGGGCUGUAAGCACAACCCCCACCUGUGGAUGUAGGGCCCUCAUACCACCCUCAUGGAGUCUGUUUCUGACCGUUUGAGCAGACACAUGCACAUUUGUGGCCUGCUGGAGGUCAUUUUGCAGGGCUCUGUCAGUGCUCCUCCUGCUCCUCCUUGCACAAAGGCGGAGGUAGCGGUCCUGCUGCUGGAUUGUUGCCCUCGUACGGCCUCCUCCACGUCUCCUGAUGUACUGGCCUGUCUCCUGGUAGCGCCUCCAUGCUCUGGACACUACGCUGACAGACACAGCAAACCUUCUUGCCACAGCUCGCAUUGAUGUCCCAUCCUGGAUGAGCUGCACUACCUGAGCCACUUGUGUGGGUUGUAGACUCUGUCUCAUGCUACCACUAGAGUGAAAGCACCGCCAGCAUUAAAAAGUGACCAAAACAUCAGCCAGGAAGCAUAGGAACUGAGAAGUGGUCUGGUCACCACCUGCAGAACCACUCCUUUAUUGGGGGUGUCUUGCUAAUUGCCUAUCAUUUCCACCUGUUGUCUAUUCCAUUUGCACAGCAGCAUGUGAAAUUUAUUGUCAAUCAGUUUUGCUUCCUAAGUGGACAGUUUGAUUUCACAGAAGUGUGAUUGACUUGGAGUUACAUUGUGUUGUUUAAGUGUUCCCUUUAUUUUUUUGAGCAGUGUAUAUUUUGAUUUGUUUAACACUUUUUUGGUUCCCACAGAACAUGAUCACAUGUAUUGUUUCAUACUUUUGAUACCUUCACUGUCAUUCUACAAUGUAGAAAAUAGUAAAAAAUUAAGAAAAACCCAGGAAUGAGUAGGUGUAGAAUGAUAUAGUUUGUGUAUAAUGUAUAUAUUUAUGUUGUAUUAUCUUUGCUUUCCUCACAAUCUUAAAUAAGCAUGCCCUAGAUAAAGCCUGUGGUUCACUCCAGACCUGACUGCCCUUGACCAGCACAAAAACAUCCUGUGGCGUACGGCAUUAGCAUCAAAUAGCCCCCUCGAUAUGCAGCUUUUCAUGGAAGUUAGGAACCAAUAUACACAGGCAGUUAGGAAAGCAAAGGCUAGCUUUUUCAAACAGAAAUUUGCAUCCUUUAGCACAAACUGGGACACUGUAAAGUCCAUGGAGAAUAAGAGCACCUCCUCCCAGCUGCCCACUGCACUGAGGCUAGGAAACACUGUCACAUCCGAUAAAUCCACAAUAAUUGAGAAUUUCAAUAGGCAUUUUUCUACAGCUGACCAUGCUUUCCACCUGACCACACCUACCCUGGUCAACUUGCCCAAGCCCCCAUUUCUCCUUCUCCCAAAUCCAGAUAGAUGAUGUUCUGAAAGAGCUGCAAAAUCUGGACCCCUACAAAUCAGCUGGGCUAGACAAUCUGGACCAUCUCUUUCUAAAAUUAUCCGCCGGAAUUGUUGCAACCCCUAUUACUAGCCUGUUCAACCUCUCUUUCAUAUCGUCUGAGAUCCCCAAAGAUUGGAAAGCUGCCGCAGCCAUCCCCAUCUUCAAAGGGGGAGACACUCAGACCCAAACUGUUAUAGACCUAUAUCUAUCCUGCCCUGCCUUUCUAAAAUCUUCGAAAGCCAAGUUAACAAAGAGAUCACCAACCAUUUCGAAUGCCACCGUACCUUCUCCACAAUGCAAUCUGGUUUCCGAGCUGGUCAUGGGUGCAUCUCAGCCAUUUUCAAGGUCCUAAACGAUAUAACCGCCAUUGAUAAAAGGCAGUACUGUGCAGCCGUCUUCAUCGACCUGGCCAAGGCUUUCAACUCUCUCAAUCACCGCAUUCUUAGCGGCAGACUCAAUAGCCUUGGCUUCUCAAUUGACUUCCUCGCCAGGUUCACCAUCUACGUCUCAGAUAGAGUUCAGUGUGUCAAAUCGGAGGGCCUGUUGUCCGGACCUCUGGCAGUCCCUAUGGGGGUGCCACAGGGUUCAAUUCUCGGGCUGACUAUUUUCUCUGUAUAUAUCAAUGAUGUCACUCUUGCUGCUGGUGAUUCUCUAAUCCACCUCUUCGUAAACGACACCAUUCUGUAUACAUCUGGCCCUUCUUUGGGCACCGUGCUAACAAACCUCCAAACGAGCUUCAAUGCCAUACAACACUCCUUCCGUGGACUCCAACUGCUUUUAAAUGCUAGUAAAACUAAGUGCAUGCUCUUCAACCAAUUGCUGCCUGCACCCUCCUGCCCGACUAGCAUCACUACUCUGGACGGUUCUUGAAUAUGUGUACAACUACAAAUACCUAGGUGUCUGGUUAGACUGCAAACUCUCCUUCCAGACUCACAUUAAGCAUCUCCAAUCCAGUUAAAUCUAAUAUCGGCUUCCUAUUUCGCAACAAAGCCUCCUUCACUCAUGCCGCCAAACAUACCCUCGUAAAACUGACUAUCCUACCGAUCCUUGACUUCGGCGAUGUCUUUUACAAAAUAGCCCCCAACACUCAGCAAACUGGAUGUAGUCUAUCACAGUGCCGUCCGUUUUAUCACCAAAGCCCCAUAUACUACCCACCACUGUGACCUGUAUGCUCUCGUUAGCUGGCCCUCACUACAUAUCUGUCGCCAAACCCACUGGCUCCAGGUCAUCUAUAAGUCUUUGCUAGGUAAAACUUUGCCUUAUCUCAGCUCACUGGUCACCAUUGCAACACCCACCCAUAGCACGCGCUCCAGCAGGUAUAUUGCACUGGUCAUCCCCAAAGCCAACGGUUCUUUUGGCCGCCUUUCCUUACAGUUCUCUGCUGCCAAUGACUGGAACGAAUUGCAAAAAUCUCUAAAGCUUGAGUCAUAUCUACCUCUCAAACCUUAAGCAUCAGCUGUCAGAGCAGCUUACCGAUCACUGUACCUGUAGACAGCCAAUCUGUAAAUAGCAUACCCGACUACCUCAUCCCCAUAUUAUUACUUACCCUCUUGCUCUUUUGUACCCCAGUAUCUCUACUUGCACAUCAUCAUCUGCACAUCUAUCACUCCAGUAUUAAUGCUAAAUUGUAAUUAUUUUCGCCUCAAGGGCCUAUUUGUUACCUACCUCCCUACUCUUCUACACUUGCACACACUGUACAUAGAUCUUCCUAUUUUUCUUUUCUUUUGUGUUAUUGACUGAGCAUUUGUUUAUGUGUAACUCUGUGUUGUUUUUGUCGCACUGCUUUGCUUUAUCUUGGCCAGGUCGCAGUUGUAAAUGAGAACUUGUUCUCAACUGGCCUACCUGGUUUUAAAUAAAGGUGAAAUAUAUAUUUUUUAAAUGGUCCACACACCCACACUGUCAUGAAGAAGGCUUUGGCACGAGCCCUCAAAUCCUCAAAGUUCUACAGCUGCACCGUUGAGAGCAUUUUGACUGGCUGCAUUAUUGCUUGGUAUGGCAAACGCACCGCCCUCGAUCACAUGGCACUACAGAGGGUGGUGCGGACAGCCCAGUACAUCACUGGGGCCGAGCUCCCUGCCAUCCAGGACAAAGCAAAAGCAGACGAGACCCCUAACUCAGUCUCCUUAAAUACUGCAACACUCCAGUUGACAACUUCAAAUCACCAGCCCAGUUGUUGAUGAGCCGCAGACUUCGCUCAUUCCUUCCCAGCACCAACCAGCAUUUGCAACCUGAGGUUGUCAGCUACAAGGAAAUGCAUGAAAAAUAUGUACAGAGACAACAACAACAAAAGCGAUACUACGACAGGUCAGCUAGACCACUGCCACCACUGCCACCACCAUCAACGGAGAGUCAGUUAGAAUCCAGGAUCAUGGCCUCUGGAAGCCAGCAGUUGUCAUCCAGCCAGCUGACACUGAAAGUUCAUAUCACGUCCGCACCGCAGAAGGAGCGGUGUACCGUCGCAAUCGUCGUCACCUACUGAACAUAAAAGAACAACACACUGACAAGAUGAACUGUUUCCCUGAAAGAGAACGUGAUGGUCUAAACACACACACAACAUACUUACCUGCAACACCACAAGAACUGUUGACUGACACAGAAGCAUUUUCAGCUUCAUAUCACACAAGGUCAGGAAGAGAGGUCAAGCCUAGAGCUGUCAUAGACCUGUGAAAUGCCAAAUGGUGUAGGCAGAUCCCUGCCCUAAAAGAGAUCCAGAAUAAAAAUGUGUUAUUGAAAUGCUUUGGUAUUGUACUUGUUUGAAUUGUUGAGAUGUCAUUGCUACAGUGAAAAGCUGAGUUGCUGAGAAAUCUUUGUUCUAACAGUAUGUUGAAUCAUUGUUUCAAAGUCUUAUGUUGGUGCAGUAUAAAUGGUUACUUACCUUGAGUUGGGCAGAGCAUGUAUUCAAAACAAACGCUUUUGAAUACCAGUCUCAACAUCAACAGUGAAGAGGCGACUCCGGGAUGCUGGCCUUCUAGGCAGAGUUGCAAAGAAAAAGCCAUAUCUCAGACUGGCCAAUAAGAAGAAAAGAUUAAGAUGGGCAAAAGAACACAGACACUGGACAGAGAAACUGCCUGGAAGGCCAGCAUCCUGGAGUCGUCUCUUCACUGUUGACGUUGAGACUGGUGUUUUGCAGGUACUAUUUAAUGAAGCUGUCAGUUGAGGACUUGUGAGGCGUCUGAUUCUAAAAAUAGACACUAAUGUACUCGUCCUCUUGCUCAGUUGUGCACCGGGGCCUCCCACUCCUCUUUCUAUUCUGGUUAGAGACAGUUUGCACUGUUCUGUGAAGAUAGUAGUACACAGCGUUGUACGAGAUCUUCAGUUUCUUAGCAAUUUCUCGCAUGGAAUUGCCUUCAUUUCUCGGAACAAGAAUAGACUGACGAGUUUCAAAAGAAAGUUCUUUGUUUCUGGCUAUUUUGAGUCUAAUCAAACCCACAAAUGCUGAUGCUCCAGAUACUCAACUUGUCUAAAGAAGGCCAGUUUUAUUGCUUCUUUAAUCAGACAACAGUUUUCAGCUGUGCUAACAUAAUUGCAAAAGCUUUUUCUAAUGAUCAAUUAGCCUUUUAAAAUGAUCAACUUGGAUUAGCUAACACAACGGGCCAUUGGAAGGAGGGAUGGUUGCUGAUAAUGGGCCUCUGUACGCCUAUUUAGAUAUUCCACAAUGUUCAAGGGAUGUACAUUCAGUCCAUAGUAGCCAAUAACAACAUAAUUUGAUGGACAAUGUUCAUAGGCAGGUGCAAUCAUGUCUAAUGAGGUUACAAGGUAAAACUGGAAGUCGGGCACAUUAUCCGCUUAAUGACAGUGGGGCUAGUUAGUGACAAUUGUGUGAACCUUUAUGCAGAGCUGCACAUGCACAGCCUAAUAUGACAUACAACACAAACUUCAGUGACCCGUUUUAGCUCAUGAGCACUACAACUGGCUACUACUGGCUGAAAUUAUGGAAAAACUACACAGAGCCUUUCAAAGUGAGUUCAUAGAGUAUUUAGACUGUGUUUCCUCUCAAUGUCCCAAGGCAAGACCUUUACUAUUGGAAAUAUUAACAGACACAAUCCAUCAGACAUCAGAUUGCAAUAGUGCUAUUAUUAGCUACUAGUAUCUCCAUUGUUUCAGCUUUUUCUGUUUGUUAUUUUUUCUGUCUUUAGUUCUGUCUGCCUUUUGUCCACUUCCUCAUGCAUCAUGCAUCACCCUCCCUCUCUCCUGCUACCUUCCGUUCUUCUCUUUGUCUUCUCUCUUUUAUGUCGCUCUUCGUAUCCAGACCCGGCGCAAGAACGAAGCAAGAACGAAUCAGUUGGACGGCCUUGGAUUUUUUUUAAGGGAUCUCCUAUGUGUGCAGAAAAUGAAAGAGUGAAGAUUAUAAUUAUAUAUCCACAACUGAUCAAGACCAAAGCUGUAUCCCAUUAAUAAUGCCAGACUAUCCAGAAGUUCCCCUGGGCAGUUCCAAAAAAGGCAGAAAAGCUGGUCUUGUUCUCCCUCUACCCCAGCCCAGGAUGAAUUUAAUGGGGACACGUCUAGACAGGGGCAACCCAGGGAUUCACCUGGCCAUUCUAGAUGCUGUCCUUUCCCAUCUCACUUCAAACACAAAUAAUCCAGGCCUUCUCCUAGCCAGUCCCACCUCCAGAGCAGAGAGCACAGACGUUCUACAUAUCCAUCCUGUUACUCUACCAGACAAGAUUCAUCCAGGGCUUCUACUUGCCAGUCCCAACGGAGCCAAGAGCAUCGCAGCUCUCACCCUCCCAUUCCCUCCACUAGACCAGAGUUGUUUCCCAUGAAUAAUGCCAAACUUCAGAAGUGUGUCCUAACUAAAUUGGAGAUAUUGGAGGAGGUGAAACGUGUUGGGAGAGCAGAGCCCCAAGACUCUUUGAGUUCCAUGUCAAGAGGAUGGAGAUGGAGCAAGACUUUGACCAACUAGAGAAGCAGCUCCAAGGUGUGGAUGCACAGAAUCUGAUGGUGAAAGUGAAAUUUAUUUUGUAGAUUUGUAAGCAUUUUUCACACAAGCGAUACAAAAAGUGAUGCCCGUAGAAUUUUUUUUUUAAAGUACUCAUACUGAGACAGUGGUUACUGCAUAACUUCUGGUGUUUCAAACAAAGUCUCUUGACACAGAUUGCAAGGUUAAGCAAAAUUGGUGUUAAGGACACAAAGGACUGUGCCAACAAGGUCAUGGUAUGUCAUAUCUUCAGAAUGGAUCCAAUAAGAAAGUCAUUUUAAAGGUAUUGUUAGUGAUACAAACUGUCUGCAACAAAGACAGUAAAUCCAGCCUUAUCUCCUCAGCAGUUUGAAAGUGUUCAAUUCACAAAGUACAUCCUAUGUGUGCUUGACUUUCAGGCUCUUUACCAAUGGCCUGAUGUCCUUGUUCAACUUCAAUGGCCAUCACGCAAGCGAGGAUUAGGAAACACAACUGUGUACUCUGUUGUCAACAGUACCUACAAACAUGUCAUUAUUCUGUAGUAUAUUUUGUAUUAAUAACUGGGUGGUUUGAGCCCUGAAAGCUGAUUGGCUAACGGCCAUGGUAUAUUUAAGCAAUAAUACAUGAGAGCCCAUGUGUUAUGAUGACAUUUUUAUCAUGGCUGAGUGUCAUAGCCAUAAAAGCAAAGUCCUCUGGGUUUUGUGGUACCGUAACCACACAAUACAUGGUUAACAGUCUGUAUCCAGGCACCCUGAGUUGCGUUGUGCAUAAGAAAAGCCUUUACUACACCUUCCCAUUGCUUAAAGGAUCACUAAGGUUGCGCAAUCAAAAUGACCUGCUCUGUCUGUUUUAAUAGGCUAGAUUAUUAUUUUGUCUUCUAAAACAAUUAUUCAUUUGCAUGGUGGUAAUUUGUGUAGUUGUCACGUUCUGACCUUAGUUCUUUUGUUAUUGUCUUUGUUUAGUAUGGUCAGGGCGUGAGUUGGGUGGGUUGUCUAUGUUCCUUUUUCUAUGAUUUGGGAUUUCUGUGUUUGGCCUGGUAUGGUUCUCAAUUAGAGGCAGCUGUCUAUCGUUGUCCCUGAUUGAGAACCAUACUUAGGUAGCCUGGUUUCACUUUUGAGUUAUUUUCUGUGUUAAUGUUUGUGACACACGGGACUGUUUCGUUUGUUUCACUUUGUUAUUUUGUAUUUUGUAGUGUUCAGUUUUACAUAUUAAAAUGGACACUUACCACGCUGCAAAUUGGUCCGAUCUCUCUUACUCCUCAUCAGAAGAAGAGGACGAGCGUUACAGUGGUCCCUUUUUGAGAAUAAUGGUUUUAGGAGCUUGGCAAUUUUGAAUGAGGUGAUCAUGUGACCUUAAUGGCCUUUUAACCUAUUGACGCGCAAGUUCUAAAAAUGUAUAACGGUCUGCCCAGCGUGGCAUUUCCUCAAUCAUUUUUUUUUAUUUUGCAAUGCUGUAGCCCUAAUAAAUGCUUUACCAUUUUUUUUUCUUUGAUGGAGCAGACUCUAGUAUGUCAUUAUGUUGGUUUUGUUUAGCUUUCUGGCCUGUUAUCAAUUAGGCCUUAUUAUUACUUAAUUUCAUCACACAGCCUACUAGUCCUGCAUUUAAAUGCAGUCAAGCAUUCUCUUGAAUAAUUAGCCUAGAGUUUUACAAUGGCCUAAAUAAUAAUAAUAAAGGCUUUAUAAUUUUUUCAUUAGUACAGAUCAACUCUCUGGUACACC
This is a long non-coding RNA of Oncorhynchus tshawytscha (Chinook salmon), 9164 nucleotides long. The record is from Ensembl. NCBI's taxonomy places the organism in Eukaryota, Metazoa, Chordata, Actinopteri, Salmoniformes, Salmonidae.